UACAUGGUAUUUUAUUCCAUUCACACAACGUCCAAAAACAGCCAAAACCAAUCGAUGCUGUUAGAAAUGAGGAUUGUGCUGUCUAUGGCCAUACCACCCUGAACGCAUCCGAUCUCAUCUGAUCACAGAAGCUAAGCAGCGUCGGACCUGGCCAAAAUCAACAGCCAAUUUGGAUACUAUCAAGACACCUGAAACCUUAUCAUGAGCCAGAUGCUGAGGAAGAGACUCCGGGAGGAUCCUGAGGACCCCCCAGUUGCAGCCAUGUCAAGACUGACUCUGAGGAGGACUCCAACUGUCACAAGCAACACCUGUCGAACACAGCCACCCAUCUGGGGACAGAUCAAGAAGCUGUCACAGAUGGUGGAAGAAAACCUGAGGAAAGCGGGACAACCAGUCACAACGAGUAACUUUAUGUCUGCAGAUGUGGAUCCUGACUCCUGGGAGAAGCAGCUCACCAUGACAAAGCUGCCUUUGCUUUUAUCGAUUUGCAAAUCAGAGAGUGGUAAAG
Long non-coding RNA from Gorilla gorilla gorilla (western lowland gorilla), 508 nucleotides. RefSeq lists it as uncharacterized. NCBI's taxonomy places the organism in Eukaryota, Metazoa, Chordata, Mammalia, Primates, Hominidae. The record is from RefSeq and is a predicted model, not a curated record. The transcript is spliced from 3 exons.